UUUUAAGAAAAUCGAGUAAGGAUAUUGUUGGUGUCCUUAACUCAAGAAUUUAGUUUUCAAUUAUUUAUUUACUAAAUUUUGGAAACCCGGCGUGAUGAAUCAAGUAUGUUUAGUACAUCCACUAAGACUUUAAGUUAGCUUCACGAGACCUAUUAAGAAUAGAAUUUCUUGUAGGCUUUGUGACCAGGGGGAUUAGCGCUGCUUCCCAAGACAGGUUUAUAUGUGAUUAUGAUCUUCAGGCUUUGCCUAACCAGGUUGAGCAGUUGAUGGAAUGGAAUGAUGUUGAGCGGGUGUUCCUUUGACAUUUCAAGAAAUGUAACCUUGAGGAUACAUCUUCAUAUGUAUAUCUCACACGUUUUUCCGCUGCAAAACACUUUGAUUAGGAUAACUCUAUGUUAUGAAGUUGUGACACGUGUUAUUGGGUAACCCACCUUAAUCAGUUCUCCUUUA
Molecule: long non-coding RNA, 450 nt
Organism: Salvia miltiorrhiza (redroot sage)
Lineage: Eukaryota; Viridiplantae; Streptophyta; Magnoliopsida; Lamiales; Lamiaceae
Exons: 2
Source: RefSeq, a predicted model, not a curated record